This 1235-nucleotide ribosomal RNA is filed under the name metagenome. RNAcentral describes it as "bacterial LSU rRNA". It matches the Rfam family "Bacterial large subunit ribosomal RNA", at positions 1564 to 2808 of the family's 2925-position model. The record is from RNAcentral.
UGAAUACGAGACGCUAAGGCGUCGAAGUAGUGUAUGUCAUACUUCCAAGAAAAGCUUGCACUGUCAUAGAUAAAAAACGCCUGUACCAUAACCGACACAGGUGGGUAGGUAGAGUAUACUAAGGGGCGCGAGAUAACUCUCUCUAAGGAACUCGGCAAAAUAACUCCGUAACUUCGGGAGAAGGAGUGCCUUAUUCGUAAGGUUGCAAUAACAAGAUCCAAGCAACUGUUUAUCAAAAACACAGGUCUCCGCUAAGUCGUAAGACGAUGUAUGGGGGCUGACGCCUGCCCAGUGCCAGAAGGUUAAAGAAGUUGGUUAGCAAUUGCGAAGCUGAUAACUGAAGCCCUGGUGAACGGCGGCCGUAACUAUAACGGUCCUAAGGUAGCGAAAUUCCUUGUCGGGUAAGUUCCGACCCGCACGAAAGGCGUAAUGAUUUGGAUACUGUCUCGGAGAGGGGCUCGGUGAAAUAGACUUGUCUGUGAAGAUGCGGACUACCUGCACCAGGACAGAAAGACCCUAUGAAGCUUUACUGUAACUUGAAAUUGAAAUUGGACUUUAUUCGCGCAGUAUAGGUGGGAGGCGUUGAUUAUAAUCUUGUGGGAUUAUUGGAGCCAUCAGUGAGAUACCACUCUUGUAAUGUUAGAUUUCUAACUUUGAAUCAUUAUCUGGUCAAAGAACAGUUUCAGGCGGGCAGUUUGACUGGGGCGGUCGCCUCCUAAACGGUAACGGAGGCGUACGAAGGUUUCCUCUGAACGGUUAGAAAUCGUAUCUAGAGUGUAAAGGCAUAAGGAAGCUUGACUGUGAGACCUACAAGUCGAGCAGGGACGAAAGUCGGUCUUAGUGAUCUGACGGUACUGAGUGGAAAGGCCGUCACUCAACGGAUAAAAGUUACUCUAAGGAUAACAGGCUGAUCUCCCCCAAGAGUUCACAUCGACGGGGAGGUUUGGCACCUCGAUGUCGGCUCAUCGCAUCCUGGGGCGGUAGUACGUCCCAAGGGUUGGGCUGUUCGCCCAUGAAAGCGGUACGCGAGCUGGGUUCAGAACGUCGUGAGACAGUUCGGUCCAUAUCCGGUGUAGGCGUUAGAAUAUUGAGAGGAGCCUUCUUUAGUACGAGAGGACCGAGAAGGACAUACCUCUGGUGUACCAGUUAUCGUGCCAACGGUAAACGCUGGGUAGCUAUGUAUGGAGUGGAUAACCGCUGAAAGCAUCUAAGUGGGAAGCCCACCUCAAGAUAAG